AUGAUGGUCUGGGAAUUUCCAUCUUCUGUUAUGUUCAUCAUUGAAUUAUUUUGCUUAUCAUCUAAUGCAGUAGCAUUGAAAGUGAUGACGGAGUCAAGUAUGAGUCAAUGUGUAUGGACCUGCUUCAGUGCAUAUGCUAUCAAGUUUUUUUUCAUCCAGGCACAUGAACUUAUGUUGUUAUGGAAAUUUAUGCAAGGUUGGAAUCAAAUCCCAUUCACAUUGUCUUUAAAGUCGACAUUUAUUUAA
Vicia faba (fava bean) is the source of this 246-nucleotide non-coding RNA. The record is from the annotation of a GenBank genome assembly. Lineage: Eukaryota; Viridiplantae; Streptophyta; Magnoliopsida; Fabales; Fabaceae.